Molecule: transfer RNA, 75 nt
Filed under: Candidatus Omnitrophota bacterium
Lineage: Bacteria; Pseudomonadati; Candidatus Omnitrophota
Description: tRNA-Gln
Rfam family: tRNA
About the family: Transfer RNA (tRNA) molecules are approximately 80 nucleotides in length.
Source: RNAcentral
UGCCCGGUAGUGUAAUUGGUAACACAGCAGAAUUUGGGUCUGUUUUUUGUGGUUCGAGUCCACACCGGGCAGCCA